AAUCAAGAUUAACUUUUAGGACAUACAUCCAACAGAUGUUAGAUCAUAGAUAAAUCGUCAAAGCUCAUCAUCAGUCAUAUGAUAGAUCUGAUUAGCUCAAGUUCAAUAGUGAUUUUAAAUAAAUUUUUUUUUUCAUCAAUCACACUGUUAUGACCAUAGAAUUAUAGACUCAGCUUCUCAAAUCUCAUAAGACUACUCCUCUCUAUC
Molecule: long non-coding RNA, 207 nt
Filed under: Elaeis guineensis (African oil palm)
Lineage: Eukaryota; Viridiplantae; Streptophyta; Magnoliopsida; Arecales; Arecaceae
Description: long non-coding RNA (EGUI_LNC036597)
Source: RNAcentral